This 1355-nucleotide long non-coding RNA is filed under the name Cervus hanglu yarkandensis (Yarkand deer). Its description in RNAcentral is "lncRNA (ENSCHYG00000000243.1)". The record is from RNAcentral. Lineage: Eukaryota; Metazoa; Chordata; Mammalia; Artiodactyla; Cervidae.
UCCUCAGCGAACCCGGCGCAGCGCAGAGCGGAAGUGACGAAGGCGGAUGCGACGGAAAAGAGGGCCCUUCCCGGGUCGGCGCUCAAGUUACGUCAGGCCCGUGGGGCUGCCUUUUAGAUGCCUGCAUCCAUGGGGGGCGGGGGUUGGUUUCCGGGAUAGACGAUCAGGCGGAAUUUCCAAGGAGGGAAUAAUGAAGGACGCCCCAUGACGAAGAUGCCCAUUUCAAGGAGGAACAAAACCUGGGCGCCAGCAAGCAUUUUCGAGGGAGCCUUGCGCUAGGCGCUUCUGAGACUAGUGGGCGGGACAGCCUCUGCGGAGGCCCCGUUUCCGGGGCGUCUACGGAAGGGGCGGGCACUUCCGGUCAGGGAGGGACGCGGGGAGCGGGCCCAGUGUAGCCGAGUGGUGUGUGUCUGUGGAUCCCAGGCUGUGAUGGCUGGUAGAGUGUUACGUCUCCUAGUUGUGCUGGAAGCGGUUUCUCGGACUCAUUCUCUGUAACCGGGCGAGGAGGGGUGGCCUUUAGGGUUCGCCUUGAUCGGAGGGGUCCGGUUCCUGCGCUCCCACCCGGGCCGCAUAAUCUCUCCGAGCACCUUUCCUUCCUCUUGGUUAUGGCUUGACGAACCCUUAAGGACUCGUCGGCCAACGUUGUGGCACAUUCAGGAGAAGGACGAGGACCCUUUACUCGAGGGGAGUAAAGACAGUACUUGGAAGAUGACGGGUCUAGUCGUCCUUGACUUGCUGCUCAAAGUGCGUGGAAACUGGCAGAACCUCAGGCUCCCCUCCAGAUGGAAUUCAAAUCCACAUUGUAAACAUGCUCAGAGUGAAGCCAGACUUCCCGUCCUGCCAGCCUCACCCCUUUGGCAGCUGGUACGAACAACAGCAGAGUGGUUAUCCUGUCUACAGCUCCGGCUGCGGGGCGGGUGGAAAUGGACCCAACCUUUAUUCUGUGUGUGAGACCUCUGUUUACCCGGCUGAGACUUCGCUUCCACCCAAGGAAACCACACCUCUAGCUGAAAACCAAGAUGAAGAUUCACUCGAAGAUCCGAAUCUCCACUUGAAUAUUGAAGAACUCAACAAAGAGUUUAUGGUGAAAAGUGAAGAGCUCUACCAAUCUCUCAUGAAUUGCCACUGGCAGCCUCUCGAUACAGUGCACUCAGAAAUCCCAGACAAGACCCCACAAGAGCAAGAUGCUUAUUAAGCUACCCAACUAACAUGUAGAUUGUGUCUUGUUUUGUUUCUGUUUUAAAAAUAGUUCUCCGAGGAAGGCACUGGAUUGUGUAUGUAAAUAUAGAUUCCCAGGACUUAAACUUGAUUGAGAUGACAGAAUGUAAUGUAAAUAAACUUUACCAGCACGUUCA